RNAcentral lists this ribosomal RNA (419 nucleotides) under uncultured bacterium. Its description in RNAcentral is "bacterial SSU rRNA". It matches the Rfam family "Bacterial small subunit ribosomal RNA", at positions 355 to 772 of the family's 1533-position model. The record is from RNAcentral.
UAGGGAAUAUUGGUCAAUGGAUGCAAGUCUGAACCAGCCAUGCCGCGUGCAGGAAGAAGGCCUUCUGGGUCGUAAACUGCUUUUACCAGGGGAUAAAAUUCCGAUGCGUCGGAAAUUGAAGGUACCUGGUGAAUAAGCCACGGCUAACUACGUGCCAGCAGCCGCGGUAAUACGUAGGUGGCAAGCGUUGUCCGGAUUUACUGGGCGUAAAGAGCGCGCAGGCGGUCGGAUAAGUCGAGUGUGAAAGCCCCUGGCUCAACCAGGGAGGGUCAUUCGAUACUGUUCGACUCGAAGGCAGGAGAGGGAAGUGGAAUUCCGGGUGUAGUGGUGAAAUGCGUAGAUAUCCGGAGGAACACCAGUGGCGAAGGCGACUUUCUGGCCUGUUCUUGACGCUGAGGCGCGAAAGCUAGGGGAGCAAA